UGCAAUUCAAUAUAAAUUGAUUUAAUAUUUAUUUAUUAAUUUUUUUUUUUAUAUUUAUAAUUUAUUAAAAAUAAUUAUAUAUUUAAUGUUUUAGUAAUUUUUAAUGAAAAAAUAAAUUUUAUAAUAGUUAAGUAUGUAUUGUGAAAGAAUAUUGAAAUAUAUUGAAAAAUUAUUAUGUUAAAAGAAAAUUUUUUUUAUUGUACCUUGUGUAUCAGGGUUUAUUAAAUAAUUAAUAAAUAUUUAUUAACUCGAUUUUAUAAGAGUUAAUGAUUUAUGAUAGUUAAUGUAUUAUAAUUAUUGUUAAUAAAUUAUUAGAAAUGAAAUGUUAUUCGUUUAUAAAGGUAUCUAGUUUUUUUAGAAAUAAAUAGAAUUUAUGAAUUUUUAAUUUUUUAUUUAUUUUUAUAAAUAAAAAAAUUAUUAAUUUUAAUAUUUUAAGGGAUAAGCUUUAAAAUAAAUAAUUAAAAAUUAAUGAUUUAUUUAUAUAAAAUGUAUGUAUAGAAUUAGCAAUCAUUUAUAAGUUUGUUAUAAAUUAUUUUAUAAAUUUUAUAUUAUUUAUUAAUAUUUUAAUUUUUUAUGAAAAAAUUUUUUAAAAUAAUAUAUGAAAAGUUAUAAUGAUAAAAUUAGUAUAUUAAUUAUUGUUUAUAUAAUUUUAUUUGACAAGUUUAUAUAAAGAAUUCGGCAAAUACUAUACUCGCCUGUUUAACAAAAACAUGUCUUUUUGAGUUAAUUUUAAAGUCUAACCUGCCCACUGAAGAUAUUUAAAUGGCCGCAGUAUUUUAACUGUGCAAAGGUAGCAUAAUCAAUAGUCUUUUAAUUGAAGGCUGGAAUGAAUGGUUGGACGAAGUAUAANCUGUUUCAUAUAAAUUUAUAAUAGAAUUUUAUAUUUUAGUUAAAAAGCUAAAAUUUUAUUAAAAGACGAGAAGACCCUAUAAAUCUUUAUAUUUAAUAGUAAUUAGGUUUUAUAGAUAUAUUUUAUUUUUUUAUUAUUAAAUAUUUUGUUGGGGUGAUAUUAAAAUUUAAUUAACUUUUAAUUUUUUUUUAUCAUUAAUUUAUGAUUUAUUGAUCCAUUAAUAGUGAUUAUAAGAUUAAGUUACUUUAGGGAUAACAGCGUAAUUUUUUUGGGGAGUUCAUAUCUAUAAAAAAGUUUGCGACCUCGAUGUUGGAUUAAGAGAUAUAUUUUGGUGUAGCUGCUUAAAUAUUAAGUCUGUUCGACUUUUAAA
RNAcentral lists this ribosomal RNA (1220 nucleotides) under Strauzia intermedia. RNAcentral describes it as "partial 16S ribosomal RNA". The record is from RNAcentral. Lineage: Eukaryota; Metazoa; Arthropoda; Insecta; Diptera; Tephritidae.